AUACUUAAUUAGAAAUAAUUCAGUUUAAAUUGAUAAUUUAAACUUUAAAAAUUAAGAUUU
This 60-nucleotide transfer RNA is filed under the name Diximermis spiculatus. RNAcentral's name for it is "tRNA-Ile". Lineage: Eukaryota; Metazoa; Nematoda; Enoplea; Mermithida; Mermithidae. The record is from RNAcentral.